CAGAGUUCUUUGCAACUCCCAACCCCUGUGAACCAUACCAAUUUUUUUGUUGUUGCUUCUGGCAGCGCCUCCGGGUGUCUGCCAGCGGCGACCGGCUCCAACCUUCUGUAUCACUGCGCCGUCUGAGCUUCUGAAGAAAUAAGUCA
RNAcentral lists this unclassified non-coding RNA (146 nucleotides) under soil metagenome. RNAcentral's name for it is "partial internal transcribed spacer 1". The record is from RNAcentral.